UCCCGGAUAGCUUAGUCGGUAAAGAAUCUGCCUGUAAUGCUGGAGAGCCUGGUUCGAUUCCUGGGUCGGGAA
Transfer RNA from Ovis aries (sheep), 72 nucleotides. It matches the Rfam family "tRNA". Rfam says of the family: Transfer RNA (tRNA) molecules are approximately 80 nucleotides in length. Their secondary structure includes four short double-helical elements and three loops (D, anti-codon, and T loops). Further hydrogen bonds mediate the characteristic L-shaped molecular structure. tRNAs have two regions of fundamental functional importance: the anti-codon, which is responsible for specific mRNA codon recognition, and the 3' end, to which the tRNAs corresponding amino acid is attached (by aminoacyl-tRNA synthetases). tRNAs cope with the degeneracy of the genetic code in two manners: having more than one tRNA (with a specific anti-codon) for a particular amino acid; and 'wobble' base-pairing, i.e. permitting non-standard base-pairing at the 3rd anti-codon position. Lineage: Eukaryota; Metazoa; Chordata; Mammalia; Artiodactyla; Bovidae. The record is from Rfam.